AUUGAACGCUGGCGGCAUGCUUUACACAUGCAAGUCGAGCGGCAGCGCGGGGGCAACCCUGGCGGCGAGCGGCGAACGGGUGAGGAAUACAUCGGAACGUGCCCGAGAGUGGGGGAUAACGCCGCGAAAGCGGCGCUAAUACCGCAUAUUCUCUGAGGAGGAAAGUGGGGGACCGCAAGGCCUCACGCUCACGGAGCGGCCGAUGUCGGAUUAGCUAGUUGGUGGGGUAAAGGCUUACCAAGGCGACGAUCCGUAGCUGGUCUGAGAGGAUGAUCAGCCACACUGGGACUGAGACACGGCCCAGACUCCUACGGGAGGCAGCAGUGGGGAAUUUUGGACAAUGGGGGCAACCCUGAUCCAGCCAUGCCGCGUGCGGAAG
RNAcentral lists this ribosomal RNA (379 nucleotides) under uncultured bacterium. RNAcentral's name for it is "bacterial SSU rRNA". It matches the Rfam family "Bacterial small subunit ribosomal RNA", at positions 29 to 409 of the family's 1533-position model. The record is from RNAcentral.